GGAUGUGAAGGAAAUCUGGCCGUAGCAUCUGUCACCCCAUUAUCACCAGGGUUGAUUUGGCUGAUCUGGCUGAAUAGGCAGGUGUCCCUGACUCCCUCACCACUCCAUGUGUGUCCCCUCCAAAGCAGCGUGCUGGAAGAGGACCACCUCCAAUAGGAGAGGACCAUUUCCUCAGUGAAGGGCAUACAAGUAGCUGUGCUCCCCUGCUGAAACCUCCAAACAAGCUCUCAAAAGAGGUAUAAAUAUAAACUUGAACUCAAAGUUAUGAAAAUAAUAUAUGCACAUCUUAAAGUGACUUUCUCAUAUGU
RNAcentral lists this small nuclear RNA (308 nucleotides) under Chinchilla lanigera (long-tailed chinchilla). Its description in RNAcentral is "7SK RNA (ENSCLAG00000021730.1)". It matches the Rfam family "7SK RNA". Rfam says of the family: 7SK was discovered as an abundant small nuclear RNA in the mid-70s but a possible function has only recently been suggested. Lineage: Eukaryota; Metazoa; Chordata; Mammalia; Rodentia; Chinchillidae. The record is from RNAcentral.